AUCCAUCUGACGAGUCCCGAACAGGACAAGACGCUCGUCCUGGAU
RNAcentral lists this non-coding RNA (45 nucleotides) under Schistosoma margrebowiei. The record is from RNAcentral. Lineage: Eukaryota; Metazoa; Platyhelminthes; Trematoda; Strigeidida; Schistosomatidae.